This 790-nucleotide ribosomal RNA is filed under the name uncultured bacterium. RNAcentral's name for it is "bacterial SSU rRNA". It matches the Rfam family "Bacterial small subunit ribosomal RNA", at positions 94 to 879 of the family's 1533-position model. The record is from RNAcentral.
AGCGGCGGACGGGUGAGUAACACGUGGAUAACCUGCCUUGUCGACGGGGAUAACAGGCCGAAAGGCCUGCUAAUACCGGGUAAGCUCACGGGGCCGCAUGGCCCUGGGAGAAGAGGCGCUGCAAGGCGCUGCGAUGAGAGGGGUCCGCGGCCCAUUAGCUAGUUGGGGGGGUAAUGGCCCACCAAGGCGACGAUGGGUAGCCGGCCUGAGAGGGCGACCGGCCACACUGGGACUGAGACACGGCCCAGACUCCUACGGGAGGCAGCAGUCGGGAAUUUUGCACAAUGGCCGAAAGGCUGAUGCAGCAACGCCGCGUGAGUGAAGAAGGCCUUCGGGUUGUAAAGCUCUGUUGCCCGUGACGAACGGCCAGCUCAGGAAAUGGGGCUGGAUUGACGGUAGCGGGAGAGGAAGCCCCGGCUAACUACGUGCCAGCAGCCGCGGUAAUACGUAGGGGGCGAGCGUUGUCCGGAUUUAUUGGGCGUAAAGGGCGUGUAGGCGGCUUUUUAAGUCGGGGGUGAAAAUCCAGGGCUCAACCCUGGGACUGCCUCCGAAACUGGGAAGCUUGAGUGCUCUAGAGGGCAGUGAUCGGGUGUAGCAGUGAAAUUGCGUAGGAUUCGAAGACACCAGUGGCGAAGCGACUGCCUGGGAGUACUGACGCUGAGCGCGAAAGCUGGGGAGCAAACGGGAUUAGAUACCCCGGUAGUCCCAGCCGUAAACGAUGAGUGCUAGGUGUAGGGGGUAUCGACCCCCCUGUGCCGGGAGUUAACGCAAUAAGCACUCCGCCUGGGGA